GGGGACCCGCAAGCGGUGGAUGAUGUGGAUUAAUUCGAUGCAACGCGAAAAACCUUACCUACCCUUGACAUGUACGGAAGACCGAAGAGAUUUGGUUGUGCUCGAAAGAGAACCGUAACACAGGUGCUGCAUGGCUGUCGUCAGCUCGUGUCGUGAGAUGUUGGGUUAAGUCCCGCAACGAGCGCAACCCUUGUCAUUAGUUGCUACAUUCAGUUGAGCACUCUAAUGAGACUGCCGGUGACAAACCGGAGGAAGGUGGGGAUGACGUCAAGUCCUCAUGGCCCUUAUGGGUAGGGCUUCACACGUCAUACAAUGGUACAUACAGAGGGCCGCCAACCCGCGAGGGGGAGCUAAUCCCAGAAAGUGUAUCGUAGUCCGGAUCGCAGUCUGCAACUCGACUGCGUGAAGUUGGAAUCGCUAGUAAUCGCGGAUCAGCAUGUCGCGGUGAAUACGUUCCCGGGUCUUGUACACACC
Molecule: ribosomal RNA, 474 nt
Filed under: uncultured bacterium
Lineage: Bacteria
Description: bacterial SSU rRNA
Rfam family: Bacterial small subunit ribosomal RNA
Source: RNAcentral